This 253-nucleotide ribosomal RNA is filed under the name uncultured bacterium. RNAcentral's name for it is "partial 16S ribosomal RNA". It matches the Rfam family "Bacterial small subunit ribosomal RNA", at positions 524 to 776 of the family's 1533-position model. The record is from RNAcentral.
UACGGAGGGUGCGAGCGUUGUCCGGAAUCACUGGGCGUAAAGGGCGCGUAGGCGGCUGGGGAAGUCGGCGGUGAAAGCCCGGAGCUCAACUCCGGGUCGGCCGUCGAGACUCCUCGGCUCGAGCUCACUAGAGACAGAUGGAAUUCCGGGUGUAGCGGUGGAAUGCGUAGAGAUCCGGAAGAACACCGGUGGCGAAGGCGGUCUGCUGGGGUGAGGCUGACGCUGAUGCGCGACAGCGUGGGGAGCAAACGGG